RNAcentral lists this ribosomal RNA (292 nucleotides) under uncultured bacterium. RNAcentral's name for it is "partial 16S ribosomal RNA". RNAcentral also lists the same sequence under 1 other name. The record is from RNAcentral.
GGACUACAGGGGUUUCUAAUCCUGUUUGCUCCCCUAGCUUUCGUGCCUCAGUGUCAGGAGUCGUCCAGGGACUCGCCUUCGCCACUGGUGUUCCUCUCGAUAUCUACGCAUUUCACUGCUACACCGAGAAUUCCAGUCCCCCCUCCGACCCUCCAGCCAGAUAGUAUCCAAUGCAGUUUCGAAGUUAAGCUUCGAGAUUUCACAUCAGACUUACCUGGCCACCUGCGCACCCUUUACGCCCAGUGAAUCCGAACAACGCUUGGGACCUCUGUAUUACCGCGGCUGCUGGCAC